UUGAUCCUGGCUCAGAACGAACGCUGGCGGCGUGCUUAACACAUGCAAGUCGGAUGCGAACGGCGCUUUCGGGCGUUGAGUAGCAUGGCAGACGGGUGAGGAGCGCGUAUCUGACUGGACUCAGGCUGGGGGAUAGUCCCUCGAAAGGGGGUUGAAUACCGCAUGUGCUCGGUGCUGUGAGGGCAUCGAGGAAAGUUGGCCUCUGCGGGCACGCUGAUGGCCUGAGACAGGGAUGCGUCCUAUUAGCUAGCUGGUGGGGUAAGGGCCUACCAGGGCGACGAUGGGUAGCUGGUCUGAGAGGAUGAUCAGCCACACUGGGACUGCGACACGGCCCAGACUCCUACGGGAGGCAGCAGUGGGGAAUUUUGCGCAAUGGGCGCAAGCCUGACGCAGCAACGCCGCGUGCAUGACGACGCCUUUCGAGGUGUAAAGUGCUGUCGACCGGGACGAAGGGGCGAGGGUGAACAGCUUUCGCGCAUGACGGUACCGGUGGAGGAAGCCCCGGCUAACUCCGUGCCAGCAGCCGCGGUAAGACGGAGGGGGCGAGCGUUGUUCGGAAUUACUGGGCGUAAAGCGCGCGUAGGCGGUGCAGCAAGUGGUGCGUGAAAGCCCUCGGCUUAACCGGGGACGGGCGUGCCAAACUGUUGGACUGGAGUGCCGGAAGGGGGAAGGCGGAAUUCCUGGUGGAGCGGUGAAAUGCGUAGAGAUCAGGAAGAACGUCGGUGGCGAAGGCGGACUCCUGGACGGACACUGACGCUGAGGUGCGACCAGCGUGGGCAGCCAACGGGAUUAGAUACCCCGGGUAGUCCACGGCCGUAAACGAUGGGUACUAAGUGUGGGGCUUGU
Molecule: ribosomal RNA, 846 nt
Filed under: uncultured organism
Description: bacterial SSU rRNA
Rfam family: Bacterial small subunit ribosomal RNA
Source: RNAcentral